CUCCUCUGUGGGUAAGAUUCUCGUGAGCCCUUUCAAAGAAGCACUGAAAACAUUUAAACUUCUAACAUUAUUUAAUCUUUAAUAGACUCUUAAUUGGAUUUUAAUAGCCUACUGGAAGCAAAAAAUCUCUUGUUGGUUUGCACUGGUAUGUAUUCAUGAGUUCUGACAAGCGAGAGACUAUUAAAGGGAGGGAAAAACCUGAGUCUCUUAUGGCAUAUAUGGCACAUAAACGUAAGGGAAACAGGAUAGAAACGAGUUAACGGAGAACAUUCAACAUGGUAUAGCUAAAUGCCUAAUCAAGAGUCCUUGUGAUUGUGUUGGUAAUAGUCAUUUUCCCCUCUUAAUGUUACCAAUGAAACAAUAUAAAGUGUUGGUAUAUUGACGAACGUGUUGGUAGGGAGGUUUCAAAGCAGCCCCAGGGCCAUGUUGAAGAGGUUUAGGCCUUGUGUUAAUGUUACAGAUUUUAAUCACUCCUGCAGUAAAGACAACCUGUCGGACUUGCUUAAAGGUUAGUUCCCUCAUCAACCAAAGUCAAUAAGCCCUUCUUUUUAAAUUAAUUACUAUUAAUUAAUUACUAUCUCAAACAGUUUAUUGGCAUUGAUUUGUCCCUUUUUAUACACUUGUGUUAAAGUGCUUUCUGCUCUCUAUUCUUGUUAUUUUUAUUUUUACCUCGGCUAGAGGCUGGUCAGAGAACAAUGUUAGUUUUUAGGAUGAGGCUCUUUAUUGCUGCUUUCCCCUUAUAUGCCACUUGCAUUAAUAUUUUUCAUGACUGGUAGACAAAUGGACAAAAAACACCCCUUUCGGAAAGCUAUCUAGGCAACUCUUUUGCUUCCAUAUCUGUGGUUCAACUUUUUAACGGAUUUCAAACUUUGGAAUUGGAUAGAGAGCCAGUUCUACAUGGCGUUGCAGUCAAGAGGCAUCCUUCCAUCCUCUUCUGCCAUUUGAGGCCCAGGUGGCAUCAGGGAUGACUUUGCCUAGCAAUAGCAGGCUCACCAACUAUGGGCGUUCUUGGACCAAGAUAGCUUGGUCACAGUGAUCUCUGUUUUGGUAACUUCCCAGUUGGAUUACUGGAACCUACUCCAUAUGAGCUCUCCAUGAAGGUAGUCUGAAAGCCACAAUUAGAGCAGAACGGGGCUGCCAGGAUGUUACCAGCUGCAAUUUUAAGGUGCUUAAAUUUAAGGUGUUUGUGUCAAUUUUUCAAGCUUUAAAUGACUUGAGAUAGACUAUCCGAAGAAAUGCCUCUCCCUGUUUCAGCCUGUCCACACUCUUAGAUGUGGAAGGGAGGUCCUCCUCAUUGUUCCACCACGGGGUCUUUUUUGUGUUGGGCCUUUUUUUUUGGAGUCGUUCCUGGCCUGUGGAACGCCCUUCCCUAUGGGCACUCCUGGCAUCAAUGCACCUGCUGUUUCAGUGCCAUGGGGAAAUCUGCCUGUUUACUUAGGUUUUCGGGGGCUGCUGCAUGUGGGGAAUUCAGGUGGUUCCCUUGGUGUUUAUAAGAAAAUGUGAUGUUUUUAUAAGCUGGUUUAGUGUGGUUUUGUUGUGUUGCAAUCUACCUGGGCUCAUACAACAGGCGAUAGUUCAGACAUUCUCUUGUAAAUAAGAAUAAAUGUGUAGGUUGAACCUGAGCUAAAUUUUGGCGCUCUUUAGUGCUAAAGAUCCACUGAUUAUUCUGCUGGCAUAUAUAUAUAAUGUGUGUUUGUGUGUGUGUUGUUUAAGUGAUUUAUUUUCCCUGCUGCCUGAAUGGUGUUUGUUUUCAUAGACAAUUUAGACAGAAAAAAAAGGAGCUGGGCAAAUCACAUAAGAACACUGCUGUUAAAUAAUUAAUCAGAGCAGGAAAAUUCCAGUAUUAAUACACUUUUUAUGUCAAAGAAGCUAAAAAAUAUAUGAUACUGGGAGGAUUGUCUUGCACUCUCUCUUUUGUGGCCUCUGGUUUUGUUCUGUUAAUACUGCCAUAGAUCUCUUUUUGACUCACUUUUUCACCGUUAUUGCUGGUGUAACAUAUCUGGGCUGUUUUGCUUCUCAGUCCUUUGUGAUUAUAUUAGGGAGGACCCUUCUCAAACCCACCUGAAACAAAAAGGGAGUAAUUAUGCUUGGAGUGCUGAAGAUGUUCCAGGUGAGUAAUAUUUGGAGAAGAUGUCAGCAACUUCACUUCACCCACCAGGGCACAGCCAUCUCUCUCUCUCUAGGGUGGGGCUGAGGCUGAACAGCAGUGCUGCCCUAACAAUUGAGAAAUGGAGAUGGAGGUGGUAUGAAUGAGUCACACAGAAGCCAUAAACCCACCUGUUCCCCUGAUAAAACUUUCUCUACGCGGGGCUGCCUUUGAAGCUGAAACUCCAGCAGGUGCAGAAUGCCGCGGCGAGGCUCCUUACGGGGUCCUUGCCGCGGGAUCACAUUCAUCCAGUGCUUUACCAGCUGCACUGGCUCCCGGUAGAGUACAGGGUCAGGUUUAAGGUGCUGGUUUUGACCUUUAAAACCCUAUGCGGCUUAGGACCCAUGUACCUACGGGACCGCCUCUCCUGGUAUGCCCCGCGGAGGACCUUAAGGUCCACAAAUGACAACAUUUAGGAGGUCCCAAGUCGCAAGGUGGUUAGAUUGGUCUCAACUAGGGCCAGGGCCUUUUCAGUACUGACCCCGACUUGGUGGAAUGCUCUGUCACAAGAGACUAGGGUCCUGAGGGACUUGACAUCUUUCCACAGGGCCUGCAAGGCAGAGCUGUUCUGCCUGGCCUUUGGUUUGGACGCAGUCUGACCCUUAUGUUUUCCCUCCCCUAUGGUUUUGAUCUAUGGGCUACUUUUAAAAUGAGGCUGCAUUUUAAAUUGCAUUUUAACCUGUAUUUUAAAUUGUUCCCCCCAUUAUGUUUUGACUGUAAUUUUACUGGUGUUAGCUGCCCUGAGCCCGGCUCUGGCCAGGGAGUGUGGGGUAUAAAUAAAAUUUAUUAUUAUUAUUAAAACAGAGGAUCCCCUGGAGCCAGUCGUGAGGAUCCUCUUGAGCUCCACCUCCUCCACAGGUCAAGGGAGAGAUGAUAAUAAUAAUAAUAAUAAUAAUAAUAAUAAUAAUAAUAAUAAUUUAUUAUUUAUACCCCGCCCAUCUGGCUAGGCUUCCCCAGCCACUCUGGGCGGCUUCCAAAAAAUAUUAAAAAACUGUAAUACAUCAAACAAUGGCAUAUGCUGUUUUUGCAGCACUAAAGUGACAUCACGGGGGCAUAAUAAUAAUAAUAAUAAUAAUAGAGACCUUGGGUGUGCUUGCCAGCCUACUCCUUCCAUCAUGUUCAUGAUGGCUUGGCUCUGUCAACCUUCAUGUGUCAGAGACUAAAUGUUUCUGGCAAGGAGCCACCUCUGAUCUUGAAGGCUUUCUUCACUGUGUGGAACCCUGUGUUAUCAAGGUUCUAAACUGAAUGAGAAGCCUCGAUUGAUAGAUCUGGCUCUCUCCUGCAGAGCUGGCAAGGGCACCUUCACCCCCCUCCCAUCAUGCAAUGGGCAAUGCCCAUUGAAGUGAGGUCUGAAUAGCGCUUGUGGCUCAAGGUGCCAUGCUCAAGGUGCUCUGACAAAAGUGAUUUAUGAAGAAUCCUACAACUAGGGAUAGGGGAGAAAUUUGAUUCAGUUUGCAUUCGAAGGCGAACUCGCCUAACUUGCACUGCCCCAAACAAGAAACACAGGUGUCCUUUGAAAUUCGUGCCGAUCUGAAUUUUGCAGUUGCUGUUCUGCAGCCAAGUGAGGUAUACAAAAUUGCUUGCACCAGGGUAAAGCGUGCAUAAGUGAACAGCAUGCAAACAUGCAUCCUAGGAGGGAAAAACAAAAAUGCAAAAGGUAAAAAUGCAUACAAAUAUGUGCAGGUGAAUUUCCCUCUUUAAAGAUAAUGAUAAUGAUAAUGAUAAUAAUAAUAAUAAUUGUAAACUGAGGUGGAAAUGUGGUGAACAAAACUAAAGCUUGGAAAAAUGAGAAACUGAGCCAAACUGAAAUGGACAGAUUUGCCCAUCCCUUCACCAGACUUUUCUAUUUUCUGCAACUUAACAGUGUUGCCCACUGGGAGAGCCAGUGUGGUGUAGUGGUUAAGAGCGGUAGUCUCAUAAUCUGGGGAACCGGGUUCGCGUCUCCGCUCCUCCACAUGCAGCUGCUGGGUGACCCUGGGCUAGUCACACUUCUCUGAAGUCUCUCAGCCCCACUCACCUCACAGAGUGUUUGUUGUGGGGGAGGAAGGGAAAGGAGAAUGUUAGCCGCUUUGAGACUCCUGAAGGGGAGUGAAAGGCGGGAUAUCAAAUCCAAACCCUUCUUCUUCUUCUUCUACUUUCCUCCUCAGUAGUUCACACUGCCAAAUUCAACCCUCAAACUACUGCCACUUUUCAAGCACUGCCCUCCUUGAGAAGCCUAACGUUUUUGUCUGAAGAGCAUAUGCAUCUCUUGAGGAUUUAUCCUGCUGCUUAGAAGUUCUUCAGUGAUUCUCAUCUCCUUUUUAAGGAGUGCCAGUGCCCAUAAUCAACACACUAAGGGACAGUUUGUACAAGAUCACACAAUAUUGUUUUUUGAAGAAAAGAGCAGGAAACUUAUGAUGAAUCCACAUCCUAGUGAGAUAGAUUAGGGAGGGUUGUUGUCUUACUUUACUGAAAUGUCAACAGCUUUCUGCUCUUAAAACUCUUGCUGAUUUUAUCUGUUUCAUGCUUUUAGUGUUUGUUGUUACAUCAUUUGAGCAUCAAAGUAUUUUUUUUUAUUGCUCAUUGCCAACACUAUUGAAAAUGCUUCUGCACAUUACCUGCUUGUGAGGGGAACAGAUUAAGGGGGAAAACACAGUCUUUUAAUCAUCCAGAAGUGCCAUGAGAAAGGUUUUUCCUAAUAAAUAGCCUAAACCAACCUCUUUGUAGUUUAAAAUAACCCCUUCACGAAUUUAUCUAAAGUCUAGCUGCAAAAGUUCUGAGCAACUACACAAGCUCCUAUUCUUGGUGGAUAAAGGUGGACAAUUACUUCCCAUCCUGUAUCUGAUGUCCUCUUAAAUAUUUGAAGUCUAUUUCUGCUAUUGGGUAAUAGAUUAAUAGAAUCUCAUCUGCUGUAUUUAUAUUCUUCUUUUCUAUCCAAACAGGCUCAAAGCAGAUUACAAUUUUAUCUCCUUGAAUACCUCCAGGAUAGAAUGCCUUUUCUUUAAGGUUUAACACGCAUAGAGAUGUUCUCCCCGAGAGCGACAAAUGUUUAACCUUAAGUACUUUGAAAUCUAGUCUUGGGAAUAUUCAGAUGAAAAUCUUCAUGGAGCUGAAGAUCCUCUUAGAAGGGUAUUGAAAGAAGCUGUGUGGACACUUGUCUCCUAGAUCCUUGAUGAUUCCUUUUAGUAUUCUGUCUAUGCAUUGCAGGGCAAAGAAAGCAGAAUGCAUUCUUGUCUUCCAAAUUACUUUUUUUUCUUUAAGGAAGAGUUCUGUUUUUGUUGCUACAUUUCAUUUAAAUGCAGUGACCACAACUGGUGACUUUAAAAGCCUCGGUAGUUUAGCUUAGGAUAAUAGCAAACAAACAGAAGAAUCCAAGAUGGAAGGUUUGUACUGAGAGAAAAGAGAGAAAACAUUUUCCCUCAUGAGCUUCACUAAGCACAAAGUGAAUCACGGGGCUCGGUUACACAGACUACAUGCAAAAUGCUCAGCUGUAUUAGGCGACCAUUGUGAAUAAUCCAUAAGUGGAAAUAAACAUAUGCAUUUAAUUAGGAGCAUACAGAUG
Molecule: non-coding RNA, 5687 nt
Organism: Podarcis lilfordi (Lilford's wall lizard)
Lineage: Eukaryota; Metazoa; Chordata; Lepidosauria; Squamata; Lacertidae
Source: the annotation of a GenBank genome assembly